This 1146-nucleotide small RNA is filed under the name Pongo abelii (Sumatran orangutan). RNAcentral's name for it is "retained intron". The record is from RNAcentral. Lineage: Eukaryota; Metazoa; Chordata; Mammalia; Primates; Hominidae.
GUGCUGCAGCCGCUGCCGCCGAUUCCGGAUCUCAUUGCCACGCGCACCCGACGACCGCCCGACGUGCAUUCCCGAUUCCUUUUGGUUCCAAGUCCAAUAUGGCAACUCUCAAGGAUCAGCUGAUUCAUAAUCUUCUAAAGGAAGAACAGACCCCCCAGAAUAAGAUUACAGUUGUUGGGGUUGGUGCUGUUGGCAUGGCCUGUGCCAUCAGUAUCUUAAUGAAGGACUUGGCAGAUGAACUUGCUCUUGUUGAUGUCAUCGAAGACAAAUUGAAGGGAGAGAUGAUGGAUCUCCAACAUGGCAGCCUUUUCCUUAGAACACCAAAGAUUGUCUCUGGCAAAGGUUGAUUUCAACAAGUUUAUAUUAUGAUCCAUGCUUGACUUAAAUUCUUUUUCCAGAUGGUCUCCCUUUGUUGCUUAGGGUAGAGUGCAGUUGCACAGUUAUGGCUCACUGCAGCCUCGAACCCCAGGCUUAAGCAAUCCUCCUUCCACUUCAUUACCCCUUCCCCCUCACAAAGAAACUGGGACUGUAGGGCAUGCUACCAUGCCCAGCUAAUUUUUUUACUUUUUGUAGAGAUGGGGACUCGCUGUGUUGCCCAGGCCUAUCUUGAACCACUGGGCUCAAGUGAUCCUCCCUCCUUAGCCUUCCAAAGUACUGGGAUUGCAGGUGUGAACCACUGUGCCUGGCCUUAGACUUAAAUGCUUUAUCAGGCCUAGCUCUUUUAAGAUUUUGUUUUAAAUGCAGGGUGCAAGAGCCUGGGAACAAUUUCACUUGGGUGCCUGUGAAUAUCAAAGUUUCAAUUUCUAGUAAAUGGUUUAAAAUAGUAAUCCAAUUUGUCCAUGCUAUGGAAACCAUCUGAAUUAGAAUGUAAUGAGUAAAGCUUAAACCUUAGGUCUGUAUUUAACCACAUUGUGUUACUUACUUUUCCCCACAUCCUUUCACACACAAAGUUGAGAAUAGGGUAAAUAAGUGAGCCUGUUCAGCUAAUAUUCUUGGCUUGACCCUUUCACACUUAACAGCAUCAGCCAAGAAACCUGAAUGUGAGCCCAAAUAGUGUCUAUUUUGAUACCUGAAAAUCACUGACCACCUCGCUGAUGGGCAACUCCCUUCAUCACUGGCUUAACUCUCUUGUGCCAUAGGGUAUCU